Molecule: ribosomal RNA, 635 nt
Filed under: uncultured organism
Description: bacterial SSU rRNA
Rfam family: Bacterial small subunit ribosomal RNA
Source: RNAcentral
CUGACGGUGAAGGUGAAAGCUAGGGGAGCGAACGGGAUUAGAAACCCUGGUAGUCCUAGCCGUAAACGAUGGAUGCUGGGUGUGGGGGGUAUAGAUCCCGUCCGUGCGGAAGCUAACGCGUUAAGCAUCCCGCUUGGGGAUUACGGCCGCAAGGUUUAAAUUCAAACGAAUUGACGGGGGCCCGCACAAGCAGCGGAGCGUGUGGUUUAAUUCGAUGAUACACGAAGAACCUUACCUGGGCUUGACAUGUAGGUAGUAGUGAAGAGAAAGCGGAACGUCCCUUCGGGGAGCGUACACAGGUGGGGCAUGGCUGUGGUCAGUUCGUGCGGUGAGGUCUUGGGUUAACUCCCGUAACGAACGCAACCCUUGCCCUUAGUUACAUGUGUCUAAGGGGACUGCCCGGGACGGUUUGGGAGGAAGGUGGGGAAGACGUCAAGUCAGCAUGGCCUUUAUGUCCAGGGCUACACACACGCUCCAAUGGCCGGUUCAAUGGGUCGCCAAGCCGUGAGGUGGAGCCAAUCCCCCAAAGCCGGUCAAGUUCGGAUUGUGGGCUGCAAGUCGGCCAUAUGAAGGAGGAGUUGUUAGUAAACGGGCGUCAGCAAUAGUGCGGUGAAUACGUUCCCGGGCCUUGUACA